Rattus norvegicus (Norway rat) is the source of this 104-nucleotide small nuclear RNA. Lineage: Eukaryota; Metazoa; Chordata; Mammalia; Rodentia; Muridae. The record is from Ensembl.
UGCUUGCCUAAUCAGCAAUAUAAUAAAAUCGGAACGAUACAGAGGAAAUUAGCAUGGCUCCUGUGUAAGACAACACACAAAUUUGUGAAGAAUUUCAUACUUUU